AUGGCGAUCCUCAUAUCUUCCAUUGCUUCCAAAGCCUUGGCCCUCUACACUCCGGGGAUUUCUCGGCAUCGAAGGAGCACGGUUUCAUUCGCAUCGGCUCGUCGUCCGCGGAUCCUUGCCAUGAAGUUCUGGGGCGCCAACCAUAACCUGCCGAUCAGGAGAGCAACACAAAUCCCCGCAGCUGUUCCAGGCCCCGAAAAUUUGCCAAGAGUAAAUCUCCCUAUGUCCAACAUGCCUUCAUGGGUGACCUUGGUCGUCGGUGCCGUCCUUGUUGCAAUACCGAUUUACAGAAAGAUAAGAGCAUUGGAAGAUAAGGUGGAGAAGACGGCGGAGGUGGCAGUCGAGGUAAUCGACACGGUGGCCGAAGCUGCCGAGAAAGUCGCCGGCGAGGUGGCCGAAGCGUUCCCCGAAAAUGAAGGCCUCAAGGAGGCAGCAUCCAGGAUCAAGACCGUCGCCGAUGCGAUCGAGGAGGACGCCGAGAAAGCCGAGGCACUAAUCCAUAAGGUUGAUGAGAUAAAGAAAGAGGUGGAUUCCGUGGUCGGUCCUAUCAUCGACGUGGUCAUGAAGGAGAGUGGAGAAAGAGGAGUCAUAGAUGAACCCAAGAGGAAAGAAACGGACAACAUAUAA
This 627-nucleotide ribosomal RNA is filed under the name Triticum aestivum (bread wheat). Its description in RNAcentral is "partial small subunit ribosomal RNA". The record is from RNAcentral. Lineage: Eukaryota; Viridiplantae; Streptophyta; Magnoliopsida; Poales; Poaceae.